Molecule: long non-coding RNA, 5583 nt
Organism: Ailuropoda melanoleuca (giant panda)
Lineage: Eukaryota; Metazoa; Chordata; Mammalia; Carnivora; Ursidae
Exons: 2
Source: RefSeq, a predicted model, not a curated record
CUAGUGGCAGAGAGCAGGACAGCUGCUCCUGGGGCUACAGGUACUUCAAUAUCAGAGCCCCAUGACAUUUCUGCAGAGUCCACUCCUCAAAGUCGGACUCAUUCUCCCCUCGGAAAGCUUCCUCAUUCCCUCGAAUUAUCUCCUAAAACCGGUGAAGGCCUGUAUAUAGAUGUCCGGCAAAAACUAUCAGCCUAAAAAAAUCCUGAAGGAACUUCAGGCAGGCAGGAAUUCCCAGCCCAGCUCAGCCUGCCCCUUCAGAAGUGGGAAAGCUUUGUGGACCCCGGACAGCAGACAAAGAGAAGAGAACAGAAGAACCAAAGGGGGUGAUACACAUCUUAACUGCAAAAAAAUGUCCUGAAAAAUGCAGCUCUCAUGACUCCUGAUACUUUGCUGGUUGAGUGGCCCAAACCGAUCUCUCAGAGUGGAUCACGUUAGGUAAGAUGGCUUGUAGAAACAGCAGAAACUGUACAAUGUGGAGUCUUGCACUCAUCAAUCUGAGGUACUUGUUUAGGAAAAAGCCAAGACGGUUUCACAGACCAUUUACUUUUAUAUGACAUUUAGGGCUGACAGCUCUACCCGGUGACCACUGGUUCCUCCGUGCAAGCAUAAUCGGUACAGUAAGGCUCAAGGUUCAAUGGACACACAAGCCAAACACUCCAAAGGGAUGUGGACGGACCUACGAGCUCUGGAGGUGGUUGGCUUUCUCAGAACUCCUCCCAAUAGCCUAUAAUGGGAAAAGGAAAGGGGGCAGCUUUGAGAUAGACUAGCAGAGGCAAACCUCUGGGGGCCCUGGCUAGCCAACAGGGCAAUGGCCCCCUUAGGCUCCUGCUCUACAAAGGCCAUGGAAAUCCCAGUUUGUAAGUCUCAGCCAGGGAGGCCUUGUUGUGCUGGACUGGAGCGCCCCCUGCUGGCCCCCGCCUAGCGAGCCCACCCAGCCCUCAGAAGGCCCCUGACAAAAGUCUGGAGCUUAAUGAGAGGCCCCGUGUCUACAAUUCUGUUGUUUGUAUCACAUCCAUACUUACAUACUUUUUAUUUACAUAAAAAUGUUACUUGGCAUCUCCCACACACACACUUGCCAUUUUUUAUUUUAUUAAUAUUGUUUGGGGUCUUUAGAAUAUACAGAACAUAUGAAAAUAAAUCCUAUAUAAUCCCAUCAGCAAAAAUAACUACUUUUAACAACAUUCAAUACGCACAAUUUGUAUCUAGUUGAGAUCAUGCUGUGUGGCAGAGUCAUUGCCCAUCUACCCUCUGAUCCAUUUCCUGCCGUUGGCUCUGGAUAGAUCUGGCUUCUGGAUAGAUCUGGCUAAUGGGAGGCCCUGGUAAAAGAUUGGAAAGUGAGAAGAAGGGAUAAACCAAGAUAUUUGUCCCUCUCUGCUUUGAGGAGGAAUUUUCCACCAGUGGCUGCAUCUCCUUUAUGAUUCUAGAUUCCACCAACUGCCCAACUUCUGGGCACCUUCUCCAGCCCUGGGAGUGAAGUGGCUUUCUGCUGUUGCUCAUUUCUGGGUUGCUUCAACAUAAUGAUUGGCUUCUCUGCCUUUCGAAUCACCUGUGAAGCAUUUCCUGUAAUAAAUUCCCUUCGUUCAAAAUACCUAGAGUGGUUUGCUUUCUCAAUUAGAUCCUGACUGUUAUACAGUCACAUCAAUAAUUUUGGGUUAAUUUAUCACUCAAUAUUAUUCUGUAAAAGUUCUGUAUCUUUAGUUCUUUACAAACUGUUCUUAAAAGCUGCAUAAUAUCUCAUUACACCACACUGUAAUGGACUUGCAUCAUGUUUCCAAUGACUGCUAAAAUGUAACACUGGUAUGGAAAUCCUUAUGCAAACAUUUAUAUCUACAUUUCUAAGUGUUUGUUUCAACUAGAUUCUUGGAAAGGAAUUAAAAGGAAUGAUUCAUUUAAAGAUUCUUGGUAAAUAUUGCCCCAAAAAUCCCCAGGAAGAAAAGUUAGACCAGUUCACAACCCAGCCAGAGGUCUAAGAGAGUUUCUCUCACUAUGCCCUUUGCAACUCUGAUCACAUUCAUUUAUUUGAUAAUUUGCUAGACAAAAAAAAAAAAAAAGGCAUCUUGUUUCUGUUUUAAUUUAGAUGUGUAUUGUUUUGUUAAUGAGGUAGAACAUUUUUCAGGUGUUUAUUAAUUGUGUGCAUUUCCUCUUUUGUAAGUUAUUUUACUACGUAGCUCUUAGUGAUUCUCUUAUUGACUGGGGCAUCAGUCAGUGUUCUUUGAUGCUAACAAGAGUUGGCUCUAACUAAAUUAAGCAGAAAUGGGGUUUACUGAAAGCAUUUAUCAUGCGGCUUCAAAAUGGAUGGGAAGGCUGGAAAAUUAGGUUCAAAAAAUAGAAGCCAGGAAACCUGGUAGGCUGGAAAUACGACCAAGAACCUAUCCUAAAAUAGUCUGAAUAAAUGCCAGUGUUGAUGCCGCUCUCCUGAGUGUUGUUCUUGGUACUGCUGCCACCCACCACCGAAUUCUGGAUGCUACCAGCAGAAUGAACAUUAAACUGCUCUUGUAUCUUUGUCAUUCCCUGUCAUUCCUUGCGAAUUCUGCCUCAGUUCCUUCCCUCUUCAAGAGGAGGAAUCUAUUUCUCCACCUCUUUGAAUCUGGGCUGGCAUUUCAACUCGCUUUAGGCAAUAAAAGUGAGACUGACGUCGUACAAUUUCUGAGGAAGCCCUAAAUGCCCCUUCCAGGAAUCCAGCCACCAUGCUGUGAGGAAGCCUAAGAUGGGCCACAGAGAGUGAGAGGCCCGGGCAUUCUCCAGACAUUUCAGCUUCAGUCAAACUGCCCCAGCUGAAGCCACAUGCAACAGAGAUGGGUCAUCCCACCAAGCUCUAAUCAACUUACAGGACUGUGUACAAAUGAAAGAUGAUGGUUGUUUUAAGCAGCUGAGUCUUGUGGUGGUUUGUUACGCAGCAAUAGAUAACUGAGAUGUUGUCUUUCCGUGCAAACCCUGGGCAGGAACAGCCAAUUGGCAAAGCCCUGGUCCAUGCCCCAUCUGCAAGGGAGCAGGGAGAAUGGACAUUUCCACUUCAGUAGAGGGCAGGGGGUGGGGAGAUAUGCCCACAGCAAGUUCCCACAGUGAGGUAUUUCCCAAAUAGAAAGAGGGGGUUCAGAUGAUAGGGAAAUUAAAAAAAAAUCUGUUAAACUCAGUAUCUGCCUUUUGUAUCUGCUUUUUAGAUACUGAUGUUUCUCUACAGACACUAUUUGUGUCCCCUUCCCAAGAAUUGUAUUCCUUACUUCUAUUUUAUGUCUUAUUGUAUUUGUAGGAUUCUUAAACUAUGGAUCACUUUAAUGCAAACACUUUCAAGUUAACUGGAUUUAGGAAGUUUCAAAGUUCCUGCCCUCACAGUAACUAGUGACACUGCCUAAUGCCUGGGACAAAAUACCCACAGGAGAGAAUGUUUCCUGGCACUGGAAGCCUCUCUCCCAACCCAGACUUGCUGGACCCUGACACUGGAAAGAAAACAUUCCAUCAGCCUUAAAGAAAGUCUUCCGGUAAACUGGGCAGCCCCUCACAACCACUUCUAUAGAUUCAUAACUAAUACCCCGGCCCGGUCUCUUCCUCAUCCAUCCCACCUUCUUCCCUAAAGCCAGCAAGGACUCUGAUCAUGCCCCUCCACCUAAAAACCCCCACUGCAGGAUUAAGGUCCAAGUCCUUAGCUAAGGUGAACACGGCCCAUCAGUAUGCGUCCCCUGCCUUUCAUCUCUUCUCUCAACACCCCCCUGAAGGCAGCAUUCCUGGUGAGCCACACACAGCUCCUCCAAGGUAUCUGUACCACCAGGUCCUCACUAACCCUUGUCUUUGCACAUUCUGUUCCCACUUCAUAGGAUGCUUCCUUCCAUCUCACUCUUCCCCUGGCCACCACUCCUGGCUGUUUUGCUCUUCCUUCAAGAUUCUGCAACUAGAACAACCACUGAGAAAGUCACUGAAUUAUAUACAGUAAAAAAACAAAAACAAAAACAAAAACCAGAGGAAUUAAAAAGUGUGGCUACUGAAUAUUUAAAAUUCCAUAUGUGGCUCACGUUUCCAUUGGGCAGUGCCAUUCCUGACCAUACCUACGCUACUCCAGAUGCCAGUUCCCUGUGGGCUCUGACCUUGUGAACACGUGUCACAGAUUCACCAAGAAACAGGGGACAGCACCACUGGCACAGACGAAUGUGGGCCAAGCGCAGCAAAAAUCAGAUCAGAGCUCUAGAAGCUUCAGAACUCAUCAGUGACCGCAGACUGGUCCAACCCGCCACUAAGAACAGCUUCUGAACUAAAACGAGGAUGAGCACAACUUUCCUGUUUGAAACUCAGACUGGGAUACACCUGAACCUGGGGUCUCCCUCAAACGUAGUGCUGUCUCCAGGGAGACAGUGAGCAGUCUUAUUGCCACUGGGCCAAAGCCGACAGAGACGCAGCCGGGGCUCUAGUUCCCAAAGACGGAGCUGUGUCAUUUCCCACCUUGCUGCUGAGAGAGAUGCUUCUCACUGAUCCGACAUAGGGAAUGGGUUUCAGUGCUGAAUUUAUUUCGUUCAUCAGUGUGUAUAACGUGUUGUGCACAGAACACGGGGAAUUGCCUUUCCGGGGAAGACCUCUCCCUUCCUUCUGGAUUCUACCCCUCCCCCCGACUGCCCACAUUCACACACACGUCCACCUUCUCAAAGCACCAUUACUGUUGUUUACUUGCAGAGUCAACCUGGGCACAUUUGAAUGCUAGGCUAUAUUGGAGUGUUUUGCUGUCCUGUGACACAUACUGGUUACUAAAAAAGCAAAGGCACUGAACCUAUGUCAAAAACAUCAUCUGAUUAGCGGGUUAGUGGAGAGUGAAGGCUGAUGCAAUCCUAAAUAGGGCUGCCUCAGCUGCUAGGUGUGACAGGAAGCGGGCAAACUCAGGCAUUUGAAAAGAGUUAUGAGAAGUGGUUGUCAUGGCACCAAUGAAGUCUGAGGGCUGGAGCCACGUCAUGGGUAUCUGUGGCCUGACUCCUCUGUCCCAGUGUCCAGUACACAGCAAGUGCUCAAUACUUGCUGAUCAAAGACAGAAGAAGAGUUGAUUAUAGAAUAUGCAGGUCUCCCGGGCCCUGGGGUGAGCAUAUCCUGAGAAAGGAAGCGUAGCCUGGUACGAGCUACGGUCAGGCCUCGGUGUCACUACAAGCUGGCCUGAUACCCACAGUGACGCCGGGGUGUUCUCCUGUGGAACAUCAACAAUUUCACACAACUCCAUCAGACAUGGUCACUCUGCGAUUGUGGUGAAGACAAAAACCAGACGACUCCAUGAUUACAUAUCAACACAGUCAAAAUGGGAACAGUGUCCAAAUCACGGAAAGGACCAGACGUCCCCCUAUUCUGGCUGAGUGACUGCAGCUCCUUUACCAAUCCCAGAUUUGGCCUCACUCCAUUCUUCUUACCUUCUUGGUAAAAAUUUAAAAUACCUGAUCACAGAAUUCUCCUGCUUCUAACCCAGUCCAAUCUGGAGCAGAGCCCUGCUUCCCUGAGCCUUCCUCCAAAGCACCAGACACAAGCCCAAACCCCUAAGCCCCUGACUGAGACGCCCACAGCCCCGCACGGCUUGUGACUUCCCUCAUUCAAUGGAUCAAUAAAACCAAUUCUGUUCAA